GACGAACGCUGGCGGCGUGCCUAAUACAUGCAAGUAGAACGCACAGUUUAUACCGUAGCUUGCUACACCAUAGACUGUGAGUUGCGAACGGGUGAGUAACGCGUAGGUAACCUGCCUGGUAGCGGGGGAUAACUAUUGGAAACGAUAGCUAAUACCGCAUAAUAUUGAUUAUUGCAUGAUAACUAAUUGAAAGGUGCAAUUGCACCACUACCAGAUGGACCUGCGUUGUAUUAGCUAGUAGGUGAGGUAACGGCUCACCUAGGCGACGAUACAUAGCCGACCUGAGAGGGUGAUCGGCCACACUGGGACUGAGACACGGCCCAGACUCCUACGGGAGGCAGCAGUAGGGAAUCUUCGGCAAUGGACGAAAGUCUGACCGAGCAACGCCGCGUGAGUGAAGAAGGUUUUCGGAUCGUAAAGCUCUGUUGUAAGAGAAGAACGGGUGUGAGAGUGGAAAGUUCACACUGUGACGGUAUCUUACCAGAAAGGGACGGCUAACUACGUG
Molecule: ribosomal RNA, 505 nt
Filed under: uncultured bacterium
Lineage: Bacteria
Description: partial 16S ribosomal RNA
Rfam family: Bacterial small subunit ribosomal RNA
Source: RNAcentral